AGUGAACGCUGGCGGUAGGCCUAACACAUGCAAGUCGAACGGCAGCACAGUAAGAGCUUGCUCUUACGGGUGGCGAGUGGCGGACGGGUGAGGAAUACAUCGGAAUCUACUUUUUCGUGGGGGAUAACGUAGGGAAACUUACGCUAAUACCGCAUACGACCUACGGGUGAAAGCAGGGGAUCUUCGGACCUUGCGCGAUUGAAUGAGCCGAUGUCGGAUUAGCUAGUUGGCGGGGUAAAGGCCCACCAAGGCGACGAUCCGUAGCUGGUCUGAGAGGAUGAUCAGCCACACUGGAACUGAGACACGGUCCAGACUCCUACGGGAGGCAGCAGUGGGGAAUAUUGGAGAAUGGGCGCAAGCCUGAUCCAGCCAUACCGAGUGGGUGAAGAAGGCCUUCGGGUUGUAAAGCCCUUUUGUUGGGAAAGAAAAGCAGCAGGUUAAUACCCCGCUGUUCUGACGGUACCCAAAGAAUAAGCACCGGCUAACUUCGUG
Molecule: ribosomal RNA, 492 nt
Filed under: uncultured bacterium
Lineage: Bacteria
Description: partial 16S ribosomal RNA
Rfam family: Bacterial small subunit ribosomal RNA
Source: RNAcentral